AUACGUAGGGGGCGAGCGUUGUCCGGAAUGAUUGGGCGUAAAGGGCGCGUAGGCGGCGCGGUAAGUCUGGAGUGAAAGUCCUGCUUUCAAGGUGGGAAUUGCUUUGGAUACUGCCGCGCUUGAGUGCAGGAGAGGUUAUCGGAAUUCCCGGUGUAGCGGUGAAAUGCGUAGAGAUCGGGAGGAACACCAGUGGCGAAGGCGGGUAACUGGACUGCAACUGACGCUGAGGCGCGAAAGUGUGGGGAGCAAACAGGAUUAGAUACCCUGGUAGUCCACACUGUAAACGAUGAAUGCUAGGUGUAAGAGGUAUCGACCCCUUUUGUGCCGGAGUCAACACAAUAAGCAUUCCGCCUGGGGAGUACGGCCGCAAGAUUGAAACUCAAAGGAAUUGGCGGGG
RNAcentral lists this ribosomal RNA (397 nucleotides) under uncultured bacterium. RNAcentral's name for it is "partial 16S ribosomal RNA". It matches the Rfam family "Bacterial small subunit ribosomal RNA", at positions 523 to 918 of the family's 1533-position model. The record is from RNAcentral.